CAGUAGCCGCGGUAAUACGUAGGGUGCAAGCGUUGUCCGGAAUUAUUGGGCGUAAAGAGCGUGUAGGCGGCUCGACAAGUCCGCUGUGAAAGUCCAGGGCUCAACCCUGGAAUGCCGGUGGAUACUGUCGAGCUAGAGUCCGGAAGGGGCGAGUGGAACUCCUGGUGUAGCGGUGAAAUGCGCAGAUAUCAGGAAGAACACCAAUGGCGAAGGCAGCUCGCUGGGACGUGACUGACGCUGAGACGCGAAAGCGUGGGGAGCGAACAGGAUUAGAUACCCGUGUAGUCCCUGUCUCUUAUAC
This 301-nucleotide ribosomal RNA is filed under the name uncultured bacterium. Its description in RNAcentral is "partial 16S ribosomal RNA". It matches the Rfam family "Bacterial small subunit ribosomal RNA", at positions 509 to 807 of the family's 1533-position model. The record is from RNAcentral.